UUGCUUCUGAUUGAUAACAUUUGAGUGAGUGGCGACGGGUGAGUAACACGUGGGUAACCUGCCCUAAAUGGGGGGGUAACAUUUGGAAACAGAUGCUAAUACCGCUAAAACCUAACACCGCAUGGUGUAGGGUUGAAAGAAUGGUUUCGGCUAUCACUUUAGGAUGGACCCGCGGUGCAUUAGUUAGUUGGUGAGGUAAAGGCUCACCAAGACCGUGAUGCAUAGCCGACCUGAGAGGGUAAUCGGCCACACUGGGACUGAGACACGGCCCAGACUCC
This 278-nucleotide ribosomal RNA is filed under the name uncultured Lactobacillaceae bacterium. Its description in RNAcentral is "partial 16S ribosomal RNA". The stretch from base 35 to 278 matches the Rfam family "Bacterial small subunit ribosomal RNA", at positions 102 to 339 of the family's 1533-position model. The record is from RNAcentral. Lineage: Bacteria; Bacillati; Bacillota; Bacilli; Lactobacillales; Lactobacillaceae.